GUCUGGUGUGGUGGUGCACACCUGUGAUCCGAACCACUCAGGAGGCUGAGGCAGGAGGACGGCAAGUUCAAGGUUAGCUGGGCGACUUAGCAAGAUCCUGUCUCAA
Molecule: small RNA, 106 nt
Filed under: Marmota monax (woodchuck)
Lineage: Eukaryota; Metazoa; Chordata; Mammalia; Rodentia; Sciuridae
Source: RNAcentral